GACGAGCGCUGGCGGCGUGCUUAACACAUGCAAGUCGAACGGUAAGGCCCUUCGGGGUACACGAGUGGCGAACGGGUGAGUAACACGUGGGUGAUCUGCCCUGCACUUCGGGAUAAGCCUGGGAAACUGGGUCUAAUACCGGAUAGGACCACUGCCUGCAUGGGUGGUGGUGGAAAGCUUUUGCGGUGUGGGAUGGGCCCGCGGCCUAUCAGCUUGUUGGUGGGGUGAUGGCCUACCAAGGCGACGACGGGUAGCCGGCCUGAGAGGGUGACCGGCCACACUGGGACUGAGAUACGGCCCAGACUCCUACGGGAGACAGCAGUGGGGAAUAUUGCACAAUGGGCGCAAGCCUGAUGCAGCGACGCCGCGUGAGGGAUGACGGCCUUCGGGUUGUAAACCUCUUUCAGCACCGACGAAGCGCAAGUGACGGUAGGUGCAGAAGAAGGACCGGCCAACUACGUGCCAGCAGCCGCGGUAA
Molecule: ribosomal RNA, 478 nt
Filed under: uncultured bacterium
Lineage: Bacteria
Description: partial 16S ribosomal RNA
Rfam family: Bacterial small subunit ribosomal RNA
Source: RNAcentral